This 253-nucleotide ribosomal RNA is filed under the name uncultured bacterium. RNAcentral's name for it is "partial 16S ribosomal RNA". It matches the Rfam family "Bacterial small subunit ribosomal RNA", at positions 524 to 776 of the family's 1533-position model. The record is from RNAcentral.
UACGUAGGUGGCGAGCGUUGUCCGGAUUUACUGGGCGUAAAGGGAGCGUAGGCGGACUUUUAAGUGAGAUGUGAAAUACUCGGGCUCAACUUGAGUGCUGCAUUUCAAACUGGAAGUCUAGAGUGCAGGAGAGGAGAAUGGAAUUCCUAGUGUAGCGGUGAGAUGCGUAGAGAUUAGGAAGAACACCAGUGGCGAAGGCGAUUCUCUGGACUGUGACUGACGCUGAGGCUCGAAAGCGUGGGGAGCAAACAGG